Molecule: ribosomal RNA, 253 nt
Filed under: uncultured bacterium
Lineage: Bacteria
Description: partial 16S ribosomal RNA
Rfam family: Bacterial small subunit ribosomal RNA
Source: RNAcentral
GACGGAGGGUGCUAGCGUUGUUCGGAAUUACUGGGCGUAAAGGGCGCGUAGGCGGCCCUGUCAGUCGGGUGUGAAAGCCCGGGGCUCAACCCCGGAACGGCACCCGAGACGGCGGGGCUGGAGACCGGGAGAGGAGGGUGGAAUAGCCAGUGUAGAGGUGAAAUUCGUAGAUAUUGGCUGGAACACCGGUGGCGAAAGCGGCUCUCUGGCCCGGUUCUGACGCUGAGGCGCGAAAGCGUGGGGAGCAAACGGG